GUCUACGGCCAUGCUACCCUGAACAAGCCUAAUCCUGUAUGAUCUCGGAAUCUCAGCAGGGUCAGGCCUGGUUAGUACUUGGAUGGAAGACCACGUAGGAAGACCAGGUGCUGUAGGCA
This 119-nucleotide ribosomal RNA is filed under the name Pteropus alecto (black flying fox). Lineage: Eukaryota; Metazoa; Chordata; Mammalia; Chiroptera; Pteropodidae. The record is from RNAcentral.